GAAUGUGUGCGGCCGCUUCCAACCCUAUUCUAUAAGAACCCAUGUAGAACCCUUCAACGUCUCAAAUAGCAACCACACAUUACAAGCUUCAAAUAUCUACAGAGCACUUUUUAUUAAGAUCUUCUUGCUUUUGUUCUCUUUUCCAUUUGCAGUUUUUCUAGAUAUUUAGCAAUGUCAGGACUUGUGGACAUUUGGACUGGCGAGCUUGCCAAGCUACGUGAAAAGGGUCAGGCUGUUUGGUCAAGUGGCUCGAGCCCUACAAAUGUUGAGUCAAGUAAAGUGGUUCCAGGAGAGGAAGGAAGCUUACGCUUGGUAAAGCCAUUGCCUGCUUCAAUCAGAGGCAUGCGAGUCAAGUCACCUGCAUUGACAUAUUCUGAGGCUUCACUUUCCAUGCUUGUCGACUGCUUGAAUCAAUGAAAAAUGCUUGAAUUUCAAGGUUCUUUUCCCUUUUUGGCUAUGGAUAUUCCAAUUAUUUUUUUCCUAAUAUCAUUGUAAUAACCAAACUAGCAAAAAAAUAGCUGUAUACAUUAAUAUUUGCUAUAGUCAAACAAAAGAAAAAAGGGUACUUGAAUUUUAUGGUUCUAUUCGAUUCACUCCUUUUGUGUUUGUACUUGAUACAAGGGUAUAAUUAAUCACAUUCUUCAUGGGAAAAUCAGUACAGCAGAUCAUCUAGGAAGAAUAAACACUAACUAAUGUUGCUUGGUUGCCGUGGUAUAUCUUGGCUAUGGAGACAUUCCGUGGGCACUAAAAUAUGGACAAAACCACCGAGAGCUAUGGAGUUGGCUGCCAAAAAAUCUUGUCUUAUAGAAUACAAACCUUGAGCUAAGCACCCUUGGCGUUUCAAAAUGUCAACCACUCAAAACCAGCAAAAAAAUCUUUCAAGCACUUUUAAGGAUCCUUUUGCCUUGGUCUUUUCAUUGUCUGUUUCUAUUGAAUAGGAAACACAUUUUCAGUGUUUUCUAAAAUAAAGAUGAGUUUCACGCAGAGAUUAAAGAAACCUAAAAUAAAACAAGGGUUUAAAGCUACGACAUCACACCCUAAAAACACUUUACAUGUAACUGUGAUGUGGCCUGUGAUCGAGAUUCCAACUGGUCUACUUUUCACCAGCACUAUAGUUUCCAUCGGGACUCAAAUUUUGGAGAUGCGGUUCCUUCGCACAGUUGCUGCCGAGGUGGUUUCAACUAAUCAAUUCACAGCCUGUUGUGUUCAUGGCCAAAGAAGCAAAUGCUGUCUCAUCUGCAUCAAAAGAUUUUGGUUUUGAGCAACCCUCUGGCAGGUUUCUUCGCAGUCAGAUCGGUUACUUGCAAAUAUCAAAUUGCAAUUUCCUUCAGAAGUACUCUGGAAAUCAAGUAACCAACAUCACCAUUGCAUAGUGUAUGGUUAGAUUUAUUUCGAAGUUGUAAUUGCCCCUAGCUAGUGCGGCUGUUUCUUCUUUGCAAAUGUUUUCCCAUGACCUGGCUGUGAAUGUUUCACCUAAUUCAGCGGGUUCCAUGAGGAGAGCAUUUGCUUUCAGUGAUGCUGCCCGACCCCUAGCAUUUUUCUACUUAAUCGUGUAUGUUUGGAGUGUUGUUGGAUAGGUCUCCUAUCUUCAUAAUCUUCGUUGCUCAAAUAUUCAAUUUAAUCUACUUACUGACUCGAAUGUUUUUCUUGGUUUAUGGCAUCAACAUCCAUCUUUUUCUAUCCUGACUAAAAAUGAGCUCCAGUCCAGUCUCUGCAACCUUGUUAGCAUCCAGAGGCUAGAUGGCAGCUUGUGUCUUGCGUCAAAAAGUGUAGAAUUGUUUCUCUCUGCUAAAAUGGGAGCAACUGGACGCCCAACGAACCAAAUGUUUCAUCUGAUCAUCCAUUAUAGAUUUUUUUUUUGUUUUUUGUUUUCAAUUUCAAAACUUCCAAAACCAUUUCUAGACAUUGUUCUACCUCACUCCGAAGAAAUAUAUAUGAAAAAACAAAAAAAUGUAGAAGGAUCAUCUGUAACUUGUAGGCAGGUUACAAUUGGAAGUUCAGUACUGACUUCCUAGGUCACAUAAAGGGAAACUUUGAAAGAGGUGCUCGGUUCCAAAAUCUAGUAAUCUCCUAUAUAUAUAUAUAUAUAUAUAGCCAAUGCCCAAUAAUUUAUGUGGAUUGACUUCGAGCCGUUGUCAUGAGUAAAACCACUAGCUCUAUAAAGAAAGAUUUACCACUAGCUUGUUAGGGUAUUGAGAUUUACCAUUGGAAACAAAACUGUUGGCUAUAUGGCACAGGAGACAAGCACAAAACUCCCCUCAAGAAUGUGUGCGGCCUUAGUUAACCCACAAAACCGCUUUCUAACCUUGUUUUAUAAGAACCCAUGUAGAACCCUUCAACGUCUCAAACAGCAACCACACAUUACAAGCUUCAAAUACCUGUAGAGCACUUAUUAAGAUCUUCUUCUUGCUUUUGUUCUCUUUUCCAUCAGCAGUUUUUCAAGAUAUUUAGCAAUGUCAGGACUUGUGGAUAUUUGGACUAGCGAGCUUUCCAAGCUACGUGAAAAGGGUCAGACUAUUUGGUCAAGCGGCUCGAGCCCUACAAAUGUUGAGUCAAGUAAAGGAGAGGAAGGAAGCUUACGCUUGGUAAAGCCAUUGCCUGCUUUAAUCAGAGGCAUGCGAGUCAAGUCACCUGCAUUGACAUAUUCUGAGGCUUCACUUUCCAUGCUUAUCAACUGCUUUAGUGCUUGAAGAAGAAUGUUACUGUAAUAAGCUUUCAAUGUCGACCUUCCACUCUUUGUUUUGUGUUUUUGUCUUCAAAACUCUGUAAAAAUGGCCCGUGAUAAACUCUUGAUAAAAUUAUGCAUAAUUACAGCUUGAAUCUCAAGGUUAUUUUCCCUUUCUGGCUUUUAAUACUCCAAUUAUUUCUUUCUAAUCUCAUUGUAAUAACCAAACUAGCAAAAAAAUAGCUGUAUACAUUAAUAAUUGCUUUAGUGGCU
Molecule: long non-coding RNA, 2938 nt
Filed under: Populus trichocarpa (black cottonwood)
Lineage: Eukaryota; Viridiplantae; Streptophyta; Magnoliopsida; Malpighiales; Salicaceae
Description: long non-coding RNA (PTRI_LNC001270)
Source: RNAcentral